GUUUUUGUUGUUCUUCUGUUUGCUCAUGACCGGCUGCUAUUCGUUCCAGCUCCCGCGUCUUCUUGUACUCCACGAUAUCCUUUUCCGUCUUGGCUCUGGCCAGCGGGUUUGUGUAUCCGAUGCUCAAUAAACAUGUCCCGACUCCUGCAUGUUUGAUCACAAAAUGAUCCAUUUUAAACAACCCAUGAGAGAUUACUCCAAAAAUGUAACUUGGGCGAGUCUUCGGAUCGGGGAAAACGUGUUCGUUCACUUGUUCCUGGACCCCUAGGCCAUUAUGUACGAAGACAAUUGUAGAAUACGGGGUG
RNAcentral lists this small RNA (305 nucleotides) under Histoplasma ohiense. Its description in RNAcentral is "hypothetical lncRNA". Lineage: Eukaryota; Fungi; Ascomycota; Eurotiomycetes; Onygenales; Ajellomycetaceae. The record is from RNAcentral.